GAAAUUACUGUUCUAUCCAUAUUGGUGACAUUACUUCUUAAAUUAUUCAAAUGAAAAUAUAUUCUACGGCCGGGCGCGGUGGCUCACGCCUGUAGUCCCAGCACUUGGGGAGGCCGAGGCGGGCGGAUCACAGGGUCAGGAGAUCGAGAACAUCCUGGCGAACACGGUGAAACCCCGUCUCUACUAAAACUGCAAAAAAAUUAGCCGGGGGUGAUGGCGGCGCCUGUAGCCCCAGCUACUGGGGAGGCUGAGGCAGGAGAAUGGUGUGAACCCGGGAAAGUGGAGGUUGCAGUGAGCCGAUAUCGCGCCACUGCACUCCAGCCUGGGUGACAGAGCCAGACUUUGUCUCAAAAAAAAUAAAAAUAAAAAUAAAAAGAACAUAUAUUCUACCUGUGAGUUCAGGAAAAAUUGACCAUAAAGGAAUGGUAUCAUAUACAAACAAAUAUAGCUCACAGUUUUCGCCUAGCAAUGAAGUGUUUACAGAACAAGUUACAGAUUAUUCUGCAAUAUGAAACAAUUCUAAAGUGUUUUUAAUCUUAAAAUUCAAAUUAGAAGUGAAAUGAUGUUCUUAUUUCAGCAAUGAAUACAGAAGUGAAAUGACUUUUCUGACGACUGUAUUUUUCAGUGUUCAUCUGGGUUUAAUACUUUAAAGAUUCCCUUUUAUUCCUUAACUAAUAUUCUGUUUGUGAAUGUAAACACCUUUUUCAGUUCCACUUAUUCUGCAGAAGGACCCUUCCACAUCAAGGAUUAACACAAUAUGCAUCAUGGGUUCAAAAAGUUCAAUUUGCAGCUCUCCUUAGCAAAUCAUGAGAACCAUCUGGACUGACUGAUGUGGAGAUUGAAAGUAACUGAUCCUGCAAUUGAGAAGCUUUUUGAAACAUGAAAUUAAACAAGAUGAUAUUAAGCAUUCUGAAGUUCAUCAGAGUGGCACAUCAAAUGUGUUACUAGCUGUUCAUUUUCCUUCGUAUUUUUAUGAAGACCCUUGACUAGCAGAAUGGAACAGAAACAGAAGGUGCUCCGUGGUGCUCUUGCUGCCAGCAAAGGUGGUCCGGAUCCCUUUGCCCAUCUCCCCUGUGACCGACAGCAGUUCCCUGUGGGUGCUCUGGGAGCCCUGGGCGCCAGGUGGUUUCAUGGCCUGCAUGCAGCCGAUGGAGGCGGUCCAAAGUCGUUAAAUAGCAGUUUGAAAGGGACAGCAGCUUCUGGCACCGAGCCCGACGGCGACAGGACGCUUCCUGUAGGGACCGGGGUG
Molecule: long non-coding RNA, 1249 nt
Filed under: Macaca mulatta (Rhesus monkey)
Lineage: Eukaryota; Metazoa; Chordata; Mammalia; Primates; Cercopithecidae
Description: lncRNA (ENSMMUG00000058770.1)
Source: RNAcentral